AAAAAAAAAAAGAGUUUGGACUUUUGGGUUUGGCCCGUAAAGGCGGCAGCAGAGAACAGGUCUCUCUCUGUUUGUCUCCAUCAUCAAUUAAUAUUAUAUACUCCAUCCAGACCAAGGAAACCAAAAACCAAAGAAGCUGCCUAUAGUUUAUUGUCUUCUACAAUCAACAACUACACAGAAGAAGAAACCAAAGAAGAAGACCAAAGCAAGAAGAAGAAGAAGCUAUGAGCUGCUGUUGCGGAGAUGAUUGCGAAUGCAGGCCUUUGGGGUUUUUAAUUGGCCUGCCCUUUGCCUUCAUCUCUCUUCUCCUCUCCGUUGUGGGUGUGUUCAUCUGGAUUGUCGGGUUAGUUUCACUCUCUCUCUUCCUUUUCAUCAGAAUUUCAAGGACUUUUCUUCAUGUCAAGAUAGUGAAAUUCUUUAUAUGGUGGUGCUACCACUAAUUAAAUUGAUUUUUUUUUUGUGGGUGUGUGUGAUGAUUGCAGGUUGGCGUUGACGUGCAUAUGUCCAUGCUGCUUGUGCGUGACGAUCGUAGUUGAGCUUGCACUGGGGUUGAUCAAGGCUCCCUUUUCGGUCAUGAAGUGGUUCACAUCUAAGAUUCCUUGUUAGAUUUCACUAUUUGAUAGUAUUUUUUGUUCAUUGGUUGUUGACCUUCAAAAGGCAUGGGGUCCUUUUGUUCCCCAGCCCAUCCUUGUUCAUUCAUAGUUUCUUUCGAUCUUUC
Molecule: long non-coding RNA, 718 nt
Filed under: Prunus dulcis (almond)
Lineage: Eukaryota; Viridiplantae; Streptophyta; Magnoliopsida; Rosales; Rosaceae
Description: sRNA ncRNA
Source: RNAcentral